RNAcentral lists this ribosomal RNA (253 nucleotides) under uncultured bacterium. RNAcentral's name for it is "partial 16S ribosomal RNA". It matches the Rfam family "Bacterial small subunit ribosomal RNA", at positions 524 to 776 of the family's 1533-position model. The record is from RNAcentral.
UACGAAGGGGGCUAGCGUUGCUCGGAAUCACUGGGCGUAAGGCGCACGUAGGCGGGUCGUUAAGUCGGGGGUGAAAUCCUGGAGCUCAACUCCAGAACUGCCUUCGAUACUGGCGAUCUUGAGUCUGGGAGAGGUGAGUGGAACUCCGAGUGUAGAGGUGAAAUUCGUAGAUAUUCGGAAGAACACCAGUGGCGAAGGCGGCUCACUGGCCCGGUACUGACGCUGAGGUGCGAAAGCGUGGGGAGCAAACAGG